RNAcentral lists this transfer RNA (74 nucleotides) under Candidatus Wolfebacteria bacterium RIFCSPLOWO2_01_FULL_38_11. RNAcentral's name for it is "tRNA-Thr". It matches the Rfam family "tRNA". Rfam says of the family: Transfer RNA (tRNA) molecules are approximately 80 nucleotides in length. Their secondary structure includes four short double-helical elements and three loops (D, anti-codon, and T loops). Lineage: Bacteria; Candidatus Wolfeibacteriota. The record is from RNAcentral.
GCCAGAGUAGUUCAGUGGUAGAACAGUCGCUUCGUAAGCGAUAAACGUGAGUUCGAUUCUCACCUCUGGCUCCA